Drosophila rhopaloa is the source of this 636-nucleotide long non-coding RNA. RefSeq lists it as uncharacterized. Lineage: Eukaryota; Metazoa; Arthropoda; Insecta; Diptera; Drosophilidae. The record is from RefSeq and is a predicted model, not a curated record. The transcript is spliced from 2 exons.
ACGUCAUUUACCGUUUUUAAGAAGCCUCUAUGGGCAGUACAUCUAUUUUUCGUUGCCGUUUAAUGAUGGGAUGGCCAUUGGUUUGGAAAACUAACAAGUAGGAGCAUAAUGAAUAAUGUUCAAGCACGCGCGAAACCAAGAGGUGUGAAAUUGGGCUCACGGGCUGUACUUAAGUAUUCGGUUUUCUGGGUUCUGGAAAGUGCACCAGAUGACCACCGGAGAAACGGUUUUUGGCGGAAGUGCCAGCAAGUACCCGAUGAGAACCUGCAGUUCGUGCUGACGGCGAGCGCAAUUACAUAAAUAUUUGUUUUGACAACAAUAGAGGAGCAGCAACAAAAACUAUAAAAAAAACAACGCCGGAGACGAGAUUGCAUAAUUGCUUGUAAGAUUUUGCGCUCCCACAAUUUUUCAUCUCAGUCAUGAGACAAACAUACCGGCUGAUUGUUAUCGUAGAAGAGAGAAAGAGAGGAACAGAGAGUGAUCCUUUUACCGCAAGUUAGUGUGUCUCAUUUUCGAGCUUUUUCGCCUGCAAAAGCUGCGAUAGAGAUGCCGGGUGAGAGAGUCACAGUGGGCAGUCUGUGUAUAUUGGUGCUGUUUAUCUAAAUGUAUUCAAAUAUACCCAUAAAUUGUAAUGUA